UACGAACCGUCCAAACGUUAUUCGGAUUUAUUGGGCUUAAAGGGUAUGUAGGCGGCCCUUCAAGUCGGGUGUGAAAGCCCUCGGCUCAACCGAGGAACUGCGCCCGAUACUGUGGGGCUCGAGGGAGACAGAGGUAAGCGGAACUGAUGGGUGAGCGGUGAAAUGCGUUGAUAUCAUCAGGAACACCAGUGGCGAAAGCGGCUUACUGGGUCUCUUCUGACGCUGAGAUACGAAAGCUAGGGGAGCGAACGG
Molecule: ribosomal RNA, 252 nt
Filed under: uncultured prokaryote
Description: partial 16S ribosomal RNA
Rfam family: Bacterial small subunit ribosomal RNA
Source: RNAcentral